GCUGCGGGCUAAGCCAGACAGUGUUUGCCUCCGGUUCUUUCCACCGUGGGAAGCGAACGCCACCCCCACCCGCCUUUGCCUGCGAGUCUCCCUCGCUGGCAGAAGGGAAGCCGGCCCGGUCCCGGGAGGAAGAUGGCGCUGCGAAUUCGGUCUACUGGGGAAGGCUCUGUGACUUGCUCUUUUUUGCUGCUGGAAAGUCUAACACUUGCAGUAGGUGCUAAAUUAGAGUCUAUUCACUCAAUGGAGGAACUGGGGAAGAACAAAACCCAUUUAAUGUUUUCAGUGAAUGCCUGGGGUAUUUAUAUCAAAGUUCUAGUAGUGGCCAGUUAAUGAAGAUGAGCUCUUAAUUUUUCACAAUGAUCUACCUUAGAGAGAAACAGAGGUGCAUCUGUUGGAUAAUAGUCAAGGCGUCUGUGUCGGUAACCAGGGGUCCAAGAAUUUUAGAGUUGGAUCUUUGUCUCAUGGAUGCUCUUAGGAGACCCACCAACCACCAACUCCUUGUAUUGCAACUGGACCCCCUCGACCUGGGUGAAUGUACUCUUUUCAGCAACCAUAUCCUCCCUCCUGUUGCCAGCCUAUAUCCAGCACGGGAGCAUAGGCUAAUCCUGCAGUUGGCCAGCCUCUUGUCCUCUGGAUAUCCUGGGAUGGAAUCCUAAUGAAGGAAACUCCAGUGGUUU
Molecule: long non-coding RNA, 677 nt
Filed under: Homo sapiens (human)
Lineage: Eukaryota; Metazoa; Chordata; Mammalia; Primates; Hominidae
Description: non-protein coding lnc-DDX1-8:1
Source: RNAcentral